This 126-nucleotide non-coding RNA is filed under the name uncultured Pygmaiobacter sp. RNAcentral's name for it is "THF riboswitch". It matches the Rfam family "THF (Tetrahydrofolate) riboswitch aptamer". Rfam says of the family: THF riboswitch presents a pseudoknot that joins P1-P2 and the loop of P3 and two THF binding. Lineage: Bacteria; Bacillati; Bacillota; Clostridia; Eubacteriales; Oscillospiraceae. The record is from RNAcentral.
CAGAGUAGGAGAUCGCGCGUCAGGCCGCAAAGGCGGCCGCAGUGCCCACCGGACGGGGAGUUGUCGGCGGGACGAAGAGGGAGGGGGGUUCACCUCUCCACGCGGUGCGGUCUCCGCAUCCCGCUG